AGAACGAACGCUGGCGGCAUGCCUAACACAUGCAAGUCGAACGAGACCUUCGGGUCUAGUGGCGCACGGGUGCGUAACGCGUGGGAAUCUGCCCUUCGGUUCGGAAUAACAGUUAGAAAUGACUGCUAAUACCGGAUAAUGACGUAAGUCCAAAGAUUUAUCGCCGAAGGAUGAGCCCGCGUAAGAUUAGCUUGUUGGUGAGGUAAAGGCUCACCAAGGCUACGAUCUUUAGCUGGUCUGAGAGGAUGAUCAGCCACACUGGGACUGAGACACGGCCCAGACUCCUACGGGAGGCAGCAGUGGGGAAUAUUGGACAAUGGGCGAAAGCCUGAUCCAGCAAUGCGCGUGAGUGAUGAAGGCCUUAGGUUGUAAAGCUCUUUUACCCGGGAUGAUAAUGACAGUACCGGAGAAAUAAGCUCCGGCUAACUCCGCGCCAGCAGCCGC
Molecule: ribosomal RNA, 444 nt
Filed under: uncultured soil bacterium
Lineage: Bacteria
Description: bacterial SSU rRNA
Rfam family: Bacterial small subunit ribosomal RNA
Source: RNAcentral